Molecule: ribosomal RNA, 253 nt
Filed under: uncultured bacterium
Lineage: Bacteria
Description: partial 16S ribosomal RNA
Rfam family: Bacterial small subunit ribosomal RNA
Source: RNAcentral
GACAGAGGGGGCAAGCGUUGCUCGGAAUUACUGGGCGUAAAGGGCUCGUAGGCGGCCAACUAAGUCAUACGUGAAAUCCCCCGGCUUAACCGGGGAACUGCGUCUGAUACUGGAUGGCUUGAGUUCGGGAGAGGGAUGCGGAAUUCCAGGUGUAGCGGUGAAAUGCGUAGAUAUCUGGAGGAACACCGGUGGCGAAGGCGGCAUCCUGGACCGGCAUUGACGCUGAGGCACGAAAGCCAGGGGAGCAAACGGG